Molecule: unclassified non-coding RNA, 268 nt
Filed under: fungal sp.
Lineage: Eukaryota; Fungi
Description: partial internal transcribed spacer region
Rfam family: Eukaryotic small subunit ribosomal RNA (bases 1-46)
Source: RNAcentral
AAGUCGUAACAAGGUUUCCGUAGGUGAACCUGCGGAAGGAUCAUUAUCGAAUGAAUCUAGAGUUGGUUGUCGCUGGCCUCUUCGCGGAGGCAUGUGCACGCCUUCUCUUUCAUCCACACACACCUGUGCACCUGUGAGACGGGGAGGCCUUUCUUUAGAAGAGGGGGGGUUUCCGUCUGCCAAUACACAAACUCAUAUAUUGUAAUCUGAAUGUAAUUGAUGUAACGCAUCUAUAAACUAAGUUUCAACAACGGAUCUCUUGGUUCUG